This 72-nucleotide transfer RNA is filed under the name Ophidiaster granifer. RNAcentral's name for it is "tRNA-Tyr". It matches the Rfam family "tRNA". From Rfam's summary of the family: Transfer RNA (tRNA) molecules are approximately 80 nucleotides in length. Their secondary structure includes four short double-helical elements and three loops (D, anti-codon, and T loops). Lineage: Eukaryota; Metazoa; Echinodermata; Asteroidea; Valvatida; Ophidiasteridae. The record is from RNAcentral.
GGUAAAGUGGCAGAUAAGUAAGUGCAGUAGAUUGUAAAUCUAUAAAUGAGGGUUUGAUUCCUUUCUUUAUCA